UAUACAUUGGAGCAUUAAAAUAAUAUGAGAAUGCACAGUAUCUUCUGGUUAUCAUAGGAACAUUUGAAUAAAAGUGAUCAAACGCUUAAACAUAACACAGAAUCAGUGUAAUAGAAAGAUAUUAUAAAUACAUUGCAAAAAUAUUUUUAACAAGAAGAGGAUAUUAGAAAUUAGAGUCACUGAAUACAAGGCAUCAGAAAUCACUUAAGAUGAACUAUUAAAUUGUGUGUGAUAGAAAAAGAGAAUAAAAAAAGAAAGAGAAUAAGAGAGAGGAGAUUGAGAUUUAAUCACUAUGAGUGUAAAAUUCCAGAAGAAAUAAUUAAGCAAGGAGAAAUAUUAAAUUUAAUUGGAAAUUAGGUCAAAUAAAAAUAUACAAUGGAAAACUUUGCCAUAUUUUAAAAGAAUGUAGGGAAGAGGGAAAACGGAAAUAAAAAAUAAAAUUAUAAACUAAAUCAAAAUCAUAAUUAAUCAUAUUUUUGCAGAGCUUUCCUGUGAAUCAAAACAAUCCUCAAUCUGUUCUGUAGCAAGACAGUUUAGUUUCUUGGAGAUCAUUGGCAAUCAUUUUGAUUACCAAAGUAAUUGUAGGGCAGUACUAAAAUCCAUUUCAUUCUUAAUUUGAUGAACAAAAGACACUAAUGCUCUUAAAAUGAGAAUAACAAUUAUUUGUAGCCAUUUCAAAGAUAAAUUUGCAGUAAAUCAAUCCAGCAGUCAUCCCUUUGAUUAUUUUUAAAGAAUAAGAGAAAUCUGAAUAAAAAAUAUAUAGAUUUAUCAGCUCAAAAACACAAAAUAAUUUUAGGCAUUUGGUGACACUAAAAUGCAGUUAGAUUUGCCCAACAUUUAAUAUUUCUGCUCUUCUUUUGGAGGUCUCGAUUUCUAGAAAAUUAAUAAGUAUCUGAAAAUCUCUGCUAACAGAGGUGCUACGUGGGCAAAUACAGAGCAGGAUGAUUCUCACAAUACUUACUUUCUAACUCAAAUUAAUUAAUUCUCUUCCAAUGAUUUAAAUAGGAGCAUAUUUUUGGGUAAGUCUUCUUCCGUGUUGAUCAUUUGAGAAAAUGAUGGCAGAAGUGAGUAUGAGCAGAAUGAGGUUUAAUUCUCUAACAUACUACUCUAUAUUUAAAAUGAUUAAAUUUGGAAUAUGAUAUCAUUAAGAGAAAGACAACAUUAACACCUGUAAGUUGUUCAGAUUGUGACAUGUUGUACAUUUGUGUAUAAUUCCAAAAUGUGGUUGCCACAAAAUAAUGUGUUCACCAAUAUCCAAGCUUUUUGAGCUGCCAGAAAAUAUCAAAACAAUUGGUGCUCUUUGGAAUGUGUAGUUAACUUCCUGCUAGGAGAGGAGUCACAGCUGCUACAGUAGCAGUGGGUUUCCAGAUGUCAAGGCUGUGAGGAUAGUGAGGUAAUUGCAGGAAGGAAGGGAUACAAUUUUGUUAUUACAGAUUACCCUCCCCAUUGAAAUCUCUGGAUACAGCAUUAGUAUCAGUGCUUUGGAUAUGCACAUUGUGAACUGGAGGUCUUCAUGUUGAAGUGUAGAGGUCUGUGCAUUUGCUUCAGUCGAAAAAGCUGAGCCAGGCUUAUUAAAAUUUGUGGGAAACAGAGUAAAUGCUCUCAAAGCUGUAUUAUUGGAUUUAUAAAGCAUCCAUAAGUGUUAAUAUGUUUUAUCAGCAAAAGUUGGUUUUAUAAGGACAAUAACCAAAUAACAAAGUUUAGCUAUAAAUGUUCCAGUACUAUAGCUCAUCCACUGAAUUAAGAGAAAACAAAAUGUUUAGAUACCGAUAAAUUAAUCAGCAAAUCUGCUUAAGUCCUUCUUUGUAUACUAGUGACUGAGUAGAGGAAACAGAUGAUGAUUUUUCCAGUAUUCAACCUAGAAGAAUUUCUUUCUCAACUUCCCAUGCUAUGUAGUCAGAAGAGUACAAAUUACUGAAAACUCUGUUUUUCAUUCAGAAGCUACAAUCAUGGUGCCAUAUUUCCAUAUGGGAAUUUUAAACACUACAGUAUUUUGACAUAUUUUAUUGUCAAAACCAAUACAUAUUUGUCCACACAAAUUAAAUUGAAAUUAAUUGAAGAAAUUCAGUUUGAUAAUUUCUGGUGUUUUUUUUUUUCUGUUGAGGGGUCUGUAUUACUUAUUGUACUGAAUGUACAUAUUAGCUUAAGUUUCUCUGUAAAUGAAUGAAAUAAUUGGUGCAUUAGUUUCACCUAAAACAGGCAGGGUUGAGGAUAUUCUGAGACUUAUGUGAAGUUGACAAUUCUGGAUUCAUUCUACCAGCCAUGAAGAGAGAGACUUCUCAUCUCACUCAUAACAGAUACACCAUCCUCUGCUGAAACUCUAAGCUUUUCAUAGUUUUUGAGGGCAGUUACAUAUCACUAUUGAAUCACACUGAGCUAUUCAUGGUCAACUAAUAGCCAAAAGUCCCAUGUGCCAUUCUUAUUUCAUGUCUCCCACAUUCUAUGGAAUUUUGAAGUUAAGGCUAGAACUUUAUGCCUGUCUUGCUAAACCUGACCUAUUAUAUCUGACUAAGGCACACUGGAUUGUACAAUUCCAGAGAGUGCCAUUCCUAUCAUUAACUCAUAAGUGUUCUUUCUGAAGUUACACAGCCUCUAUGGCCGCAGGUGGCCUUGUCUACCUUUGAAUUUUGCUUUUAAAUCAUGGAUAAUUUAUUCACUACAGCAGAUGUCCUCUAGUUUAAUUAAUAAUAUACCUUAAAUUUAAUAGAAUCC
RNAcentral lists this long non-coding RNA (2712 nucleotides) under Homo sapiens (human). Its description in RNAcentral is "non-protein coding lnc-PTPRC-5:1". Lineage: Eukaryota; Metazoa; Chordata; Mammalia; Primates; Hominidae. The record is from RNAcentral.